This 460-nucleotide ribosomal RNA is filed under the name uncultured bacterium. RNAcentral's name for it is "partial 16S ribosomal RNA". It matches the Rfam family "Bacterial small subunit ribosomal RNA", at positions 338 to 795 of the family's 1533-position model. The record is from RNAcentral.
CCUACGGGAGGCAGCAGUGAGGAAUAUUGGUCAAUGGACGAGAGUCUGAACCAGCCAAGUAGCGUGAAGGAUGACUGCCCUAUGGGUUGUAAACUUCUUUUAUAUGGGAAUAAAAUGUUCCACGUGUGGGAUUUUGUAUGUACCAUAUGAAUAAGGAUCGGCUAACUCCGUGCCAGCAGCCGCGGUAAUACGGAGGAUCCGAGCGUUAUCCGGAUUUAUUGGGUUUAAAGGGAGCGUAGGUGGAUUGUUAAGUCAGUUGUGAAAGUUUGCGGCUCAACCGUAAAAUUGCAGUUGAAACUGGCAGUCGUGAGUACAGUAGAGGUGGGCGGAAUUCGUGGUGUAGCGGUGAAAUGCUUAGAUAUCACGAAGAACUCUGAUUGCGAAGGCAGCUCACUGGACUGCAACUGACACUGAGGCUCGAAAGUGUGGGUAUCAAACAGGAUUAGAUACCCCUGUAGUC